RNAcentral lists this long non-coding RNA (778 nucleotides) under Chloebia gouldiae (Gouldian finch). RNAcentral's name for it is "Erythrura gouldiae (Gouldian finch) lncRNA (ENSEGOG00005006178.1)". The record is from RNAcentral. Lineage: Eukaryota; Metazoa; Chordata; Aves; Passeriformes; Passeridae.
UUAUUUUUUUUUUUAAGAGUGGGAAGCAUGAAAGUGGGAGGGGAGAGGAGCAGAAAAAGGAAAUUUCUGGAGCCUUGGAGCUUGCUUUUCCCUCUCCUUCCCCGCUCCCAAGAUGGCUUGAAAAAAGUAAAAAGGGACAGUAAUAAGGGGGACACACACACAGAGAAAAGCUCGUGAAGAGGGAAAAAGUUUGGGGAAUUGGGGUUUCUUGUGCGUGUGUUUGGUCUUUGUGUUUGGGGUUUUCGUUUUGGGUUUUUUUGAUUGUUUGUUUUUUAAACCAUAGGAUCCCAGAAUGACAGAAGCGACUACAAACACCCGGGAAGAGCAGGCACAAGGAGAGGAACGAGCGAGAGAAAAGAGUUUUGCUGCCAAGCUUUAGGUAAAAGUCUGAUCUGGGAGAUCAUUGCAGAGUGAAAUUGGACAGAUUCAUUGCUAACCUGAAGACACAAAGCAGGAGUCAGGAAGACUCAAACACAGCAACAUCAGACCUCGCUUCACUGAGAGUAGGAGCUGCAUCCUUUGCCUCCUGUUUGCAGUGACCAAAGUACUGCCAGCACUACAGAUUCAGGGACAUCUGUCUUUUCUGCAAUCCAUAAGGCACCUGGUUCUUUUCAGUAGUUUACACAGCUCAAGCAGUUUGAGACUCUUGUCUUUCAAUGAGACUUUUCAGCAAGCUGAACAACCCCAGCUCUCUCCAAAGGAAGGGAAAAGGUGGUGGACUUUUUUUCCACGGGAUAUUGGUGGAAUGGGAACACUGAAACACGUCAGGAACAUUUUG